CUGGUUGAUCCUGCCAGUAGCAUAUUAUUGUCCCAAAGAUUAAGCCAUGCAAGUCUUAGUACACACAGUCGGCACAGUGGAACUGUGAAUGGCUCAUUAAAUCAGGUAUGGCUUCAACUUUACUUGCAUAACUGUGGCAAUUUUAGCUUGAAGAUAUGCCAACAAGCGCUGACCUUCAGGAUGCGUGUAUUGAUCAAAACCUAUAAGUGGUGCUCUCGGGCGCCCUGGAUGCUUUUGGUGAAGCUUUGUGGUGCUGACGUCUAAUGUGGAUGUCUGCACUAUCAACUUUCAAUGUUACUUUCUGUGCCUACCAUGGUGACCAUCAGUAAAAGGGAAUCAGGGUUCAAUCCCGGAGAGGGGGCCAAAGAAUCGGCUGCCACAUCCAAGGAAGGCAGCAGGUACGCAAAUUAUCUAUUCCCGACUCAGGGAGAUAGUGACGAAAAAUAACAAUACAGGACGCUUUCAAGUCCCCGUAUUUGGAAUGAGUAUCCUACACUUUAAAUCACUUUAAAGAGGAUCCAUUAUUGAUGAUCAGAACUGAUGGUU
Molecule: non-coding RNA, 546 nt
Filed under: Salmo salar (Atlantic salmon)
Lineage: Eukaryota; Metazoa; Chordata; Actinopteri; Salmoniformes; Salmonidae
Description: Eukaryotic small subunit ribosomal RNA
Rfam family: Eukaryotic small subunit ribosomal RNA
Source: Rfam by way of RNAcentral